This 478-nucleotide ribosomal RNA is filed under the name uncultured bacterium. Its description in RNAcentral is "partial 16S ribosomal RNA". It matches the Rfam family "Bacterial small subunit ribosomal RNA", at positions 28 to 523 of the family's 1533-position model. The record is from RNAcentral.
GACGAACGCUGGCGGCAUGCCUAACACAUGCAAGUCGAGCGAGCAGAUCCCUUCGGGGUGAAGCUAGCGGCGGACGGGUGAGUAACACGUGGGCAACCUGCCUCAUAGAGGGGAAUAGCCUUCCGAAAGGAAAAUUAAUACCGCAUAAGAUUGUAGCUUCGCAUGAAGCAGCAAUUAAAGGAGCAAUCCGCUAUGAGAUGGGGCCGUGGCGCAUUAGCUAGUUGGUGAGGUAACGGCUCACCAAGGCGACGAUGCGUAGCCGACCUGAGGGGGUGAUCGGCCACAUUGGGACUGAGACACGGCCCAGACUCCUACGGGAGGCAGCAGUGGGGAAUAUUGCACAAUGGGGGAAACCCUGAUGCAGCAAUGCCGCGUGAGUGAUGACGGCCUUCGGGUUGUAAAGCUCUGUCUUCGGGGACGAUAAUGACGGUACCCGAGGAGGAAGCCACGGCUAACUACGUGCCAGCAGCCGCGGUAA